GAUGAACGCUGGCGGCGUGCCUAAUACAUGCAAGUCGAGCGAACAGACGAGGAGCUUGCUCCUCUGACGUUAGCGGCGGACGGGUGAGUAACACGUGUAUAACCUACCUAUCAGACUGGGAUAACUUCGAGAAACCGGAGCUAAUACCGGAUAAUAUAUUGAACCACAUGGUUCGAUAGUGAAAGACGGCUUUGCUGUCACUUCUCGAUGGAUCCGGGCCGCUUUAGCUGGUUGGUACGGUAACAGCUUACCAAGGCGACGAGGCGUAGCCGACGGCAGAGGGGGAUAGCCCACAUGGGAACUGAAACACGGUCCAGACGCCUACGGUAGGGAGCAGAAGGCAAUCUUCCGCAAUGGGCGAAAGCAUGGCGGAGCGAGCGCGCGUGAGUGACAAAGGCGUGCGGAUCGGAAAAAUCUGUUACUAGGUAAGAACAGAUGUCGAAGUAAACAUGCAGGGCGUGACGGUAACGAGUCAGAAAGCCACGGCUAACUACGUG
RNAcentral lists this ribosomal RNA (497 nucleotides) under uncultured bacterium. RNAcentral's name for it is "partial 16S ribosomal RNA". It matches the Rfam family "Bacterial small subunit ribosomal RNA", at positions 28 to 507 of the family's 1533-position model. The record is from RNAcentral.